CGGGGGCUGCUGUGCAGAUCAGCUGUGAGCACAAGGCCUCGGCCCAGCUGAACCGGCUCAGCUGGGAGGCCUCCUUCGGGCUGCUGGAGACCUUGGAGUGCCUCUGGCCAGGUGGCGGCAGGCAAGCGAGACCGGCGUACACCGAGCUGCUGGCCUUUGCCACCCCGAGUGCCUUCCCCUACGGCCAGUCGCCUCAGCCUUGCGCCCGUAUCCGUUGCAAGCACUCGGAGAAGCGGCCGUCCAGAAAGAAUAUUUAAAAGACAAGUAACCAUGGUGCUCAAACAAAUAACAACAUGAGACCAGUCCAUUUGAGAGGCCUAAAUCCAGUUGUUUCCCCAGCUAAAGUAAACUCUCAGAAUUAUAGAAGCAGAGCGGAAAGAGUUCCCCCAAAGGUCAGCCUGUGCCAAAGCAGAAAGUCCGCGGCGAAAGCAUCCCGUACAGGCAGCCAUGCAACCGUUGUUUAAAAGGUCCCAAUGGAGGAGACUCGCACCUCUUGCCGUUUGAGGUAAUCCGUCCUGCCGUCCAACGGCUCUCACCGUCAAGUUCGCCCUAAUGUUGAGGUGAAAUCUCCUUUUCAUCAUCGGAAUCCAUUACUUCGGGUUCUGCCACUUGGAGUUACGGAAAAUGAGUUUGCUGCCAGGGUGGAUAAAAAUCAAUUAUUAUUUUUAAAAUCAUAUAAUGAAUCGUAGAGUAAUGGAGCUGGAAAGGGGCUA
This is a non-coding RNA of Pogona vitticeps (central bearded dragon), 713 nucleotides long. NCBI's taxonomy places the organism in Eukaryota, Metazoa, Chordata, Lepidosauria, Squamata, Agamidae. The record is from RefSeq and is a predicted model, not a curated record.